GGAGGAGUGGCAGAGUGGUCGAAUGCACCGGUCUUGAAAACCGGCGAUGUGCAAGCAUCCGUGGGUUCGAAUCCCACCUCCUCCGCCA
RNAcentral lists this transfer RNA (88 nucleotides) under Celeribacter ethanolicus. Its description in RNAcentral is "tRNA-Ser". It matches the Rfam family "tRNA". From Rfam's summary of the family: Transfer RNA (tRNA) molecules are approximately 80 nucleotides in length. Their secondary structure includes four short double-helical elements and three loops (D, anti-codon, and T loops). Further hydrogen bonds mediate the characteristic L-shaped molecular structure. tRNAs have two regions of fundamental functional importance: the anti-codon, which is responsible for specific mRNA codon recognition, and the 3' end, to which the tRNAs corresponding amino acid is attached (by aminoacyl-tRNA synthetases). tRNAs cope with the degeneracy of the genetic code in two manners: having more than one tRNA (with a specific anti-codon) for a particular amino acid; and 'wobble' base-pairing, i.e. permitting non-standard base-pairing at the 3rd anti-codon position. RNAcentral also lists the same sequence under 1 other name. The record is from RNAcentral. Lineage: Bacteria; Pseudomonadati; Pseudomonadota; Alphaproteobacteria; Rhodobacterales; Roseobacteraceae.